Molecule: long non-coding RNA, 1809 nt
Organism: Brassica napus (rape)
Lineage: Eukaryota; Viridiplantae; Streptophyta; Magnoliopsida; Brassicales; Brassicaceae
Exons: 2
Source: RefSeq, a predicted model, not a curated record
UUUAUAAUUAAACUGUGAUAAUUUUUGUUAUCCAUAGCACAUACAACAUAACUACUAUAUUUUUAUGAAAAUUUUAUGAAAAAAUGAUACUAAAUUAUUUUCAAAAUAAGAUUCAAAAUUGUCAUAUAGAACCAAUGGAGGAGAAUAUGUCUGUGGUUAGAGAAAGGGGAAGAAGAUGAACACAUGUAAGAAAGUGGGGGUCCAUUAAGCUUUUUUUUUGUCAUCAAGUAGGAUCUACUAAAUAUCAAACAAGUAAUAAAGGGGGAAUAAGAAUCUCAGAUAGACUGUCCACGUCAGACGGUAAAAUCAACCAAUCAUGUUAUAAGGUUUUGCCACGUCAGCAUUAUUGGGUCACACACAUAAUUACUGUGUAGACGCAAGCAGUUACGGUAAUUUUUCAUUCUGUCAACUUCCUUUAAUUGUUAACGUGUUUUUAAUUUAAUUGGGUUAGGUAAUGCUACAAGUCCAAUAAAGAAAACCAAUUGAUCUCCAAACCCAUUAUAGCCCAAAACAAAUCCAAAGUAUGCGUUUAAGGUUCGAGUCGAUUAGGUUUGGAGUCGUCUCCAUAUUCGACAAUUCAACAUAUCUUUCUUUGCCGUACAAAACAAAACCAAAACUCCUUUAACUGAACUUUCCACCUCCCCUAUAUCUUCAUGCCCGUCUCUUCCUUACCUUCCGUUCAACGUUUCUGUAACCUAUACAAUGAAUCUUAGUUUAUAUUUAACUCAUUAACUCCUAUAAACUCUCUGUCUCCCUCCUUUUACAGUCAAAGCUUCAUACGUAUCUAAACCGAAAAAACACCUCAAACCCUAUAUAUAGGAGAGGGUUGAGAGUGGAACCAAGCAUCACCAACACGUUCUCUCAGUUUAUUUACUCUCGAAACCCUACAAUCCUCCUAGGAAAACGACUUCAUGUUGACCAAUCAGCCAUCCACCAUGCAACCUUCACGCUCUCCGACUUGGGAGAACUUCCCAAUUCAUGUUGGUCACCUCCUCUGCUUCUUGGAUUGGGUAACAUCAGGAAAGACGGAGAAUCAAGAAAAACCGAGAAAAAGGAGAAUUUCACUCUAAAUCACCGUUCACCGCCUAAGAAAUCAGUGAUGACGUGUUAUUUGACACUCAGGCACAGCUUCAGUCGGACAAGCAACAGAAUCUGCCAACAAUAGGGGUGAUGCGCAAAAGAUUUCACUGGAAGUUGGUGAAGCCAAGUAUGCCAGGUCCUGCAACCGACCAGAACAAACGCAAACGCCCCGUGAGUGAUUUCCCCAAGGCCAUCUAACCGUCAACCCCACUUAGCUUUACUCUCAUUUCAAUUUUAAAUUUUCAUAUUUUUUCUCUACUUUGAACUUUGAUUUUCUCUUUGAUCUGCUGCAACCUAUUUCUUACUGGUGUAAGAAUUAUUAUGACUUUCAAUAAUAAAGGGACGUGAGCGGUAACGUGUCUUUGCUUAUUUUCUAAUGUCAGAUGGCGUCAACAAUACAUAAACCUCGGCCAUUUCAACAUACAUCAUUUCAUUAAUAUAAAUAACUUCCAAGGAAGCAAAUAAACUACACUUCAGAAAAGAGAAGGGAAAGAAGGAUCAAGUUACAUCACAAGAACAAGACAAAGCAAGCGUAUGGGAGCUAAGACGGAUUGUACCAUAAUGAUGCAAGCCUCUGCCCCAUAGGAAGACCAAGAGAAGACGUAGCUGAGCAUUUGUCUCUCAGGAACCAAAUAAAUUUCUAAAAUUGUUAACUUUUUUAUUGGUAGGGAGCAUGUUUUCUUAAAUUCACUUAUUAUGCAUGAUUGAAAGCUGACAAAAAGUUCGGUC